This 174-nucleotide microRNA precursor is filed under the name Cephalotus follicularis. Its description in RNAcentral is "mir-166 microRNA precursor family". It matches the Rfam family "mir-166 microRNA precursor family". From Rfam's summary of the family: This family represents the plant microRNA (miRNA) precursor mir-166. The record is from Rfam by way of RNAcentral. Lineage: Eukaryota; Viridiplantae; Streptophyta; Magnoliopsida; Oxalidales; Cephalotaceae.
UUUGAGGGGAAUGUUGUCUGGCUCGAGGCCAUUAACAAGAUCUAUGGUCCUAGUUAUCUUUACAUGAUCAUCAAUGGUUGAUUUUAUUUUCUUUUUCAUAAUUGGUAAAUUUUAUGUGAGGAUCAAUAUUGAUCAUGUGUUAGCGACGUCGGACCAGGCUUCAUUCCCCCCAAU